This 1353-nucleotide long non-coding RNA is filed under the name Homo sapiens (human). Its description in RNAcentral is "HSALNT0404634". Lineage: Eukaryota; Metazoa; Chordata; Mammalia; Primates; Hominidae. The record is from RNAcentral.
AGACAUAAGACAUCAGUCAGUACAUGUGAGGUGUGCAUUGGAUUGAUCCAGAAAGUCAGGACGACUCCAAGUGGAAAGGCCUCCAGACAGGAGACAGUAAAAGAAAUGGCCUCUCUCCUCUGUCAGAGUGGAGUCCCGAGCUCCCAGAAAUGCCACAUGAUGGACAAACGCUUGGGGGAAAAAAAAAAAAAAGGAGACCUCAGUCGGACACAAAAGCAGGAGCUUUAAAAGAAAAAAUAAGAGAUAAGUUGAACUUCACCAAAAAAUAAGCGUUUCUGGUCUUUGAAAGACACUUAAAAUGAAAAGGCAAGCCAUCGAUGGGGAAAAUACUCAGAAUAAUGGAUCUGACAGAGGGCUGUAUCUAGAAUAUAUGAAGAUAUUUUAAAAUCCAGUAAUUUGACAUAAAGAUGGUAGCCAGCCUGACACACAAAGGAACCCGAAUGGCCAAUGGACAGGAAGGGAACCCGUAUGGCCGAUGGACAGAAAGGGAAGUGAACGUGAACAUCUCAUUGGGGAUGCCGUUAUCACCACUGGAAUAGUCAAAAACAUGGACACCAAGUAUUGGUGGGUGAGUGGAAUGGCGGGAACCCACAUACACGGUCGAUGGGAGCUGCACCCUUUGGAAAUCAUUUCACAGUUUGUGCUCCAUCCUGGCCAAACCCACAGCUGGAGUCUUUCCAAAAACAGUGACGGGAGUUUCCACCAGGGAGUGCCUCAAACCAUCCCGAGAUGGGGCUGGUUGGGAUUCCAGGGAGAGGCACUCGUUGCCAGGGUGAUCCGUCCAGAGCACUUCCUAGGGGAUCUGGCAUAAGGAGGGCUGCAGUGUAUCCUCAGGACAGAUAGGACAGAUAGUGUAUCUUUGGGACAGACGGCAAGAUGGGGAUUCCACCCAGGUCUGUCUGCAGCGAGUUGAUAUGAGAGUUUAAGGAAUUUGGACCAGGGCUGCUUUGUUUCAGGGUUUUGGGCAAUGACCUAAACACCUUUAUCAGUGCCUGGGAAUGCUCAAGGCCCAGCUUGAGUUCAGGCCUGCAGGGAAAACCUGCAACUGGCCGGGCUGCAGAGUGGUCAGGGCACGGAAAGCCAGAAGCUGGGGACACACCUGCUGUAUGAUCCAGCCGUUCGUCUUUACCUGGGAGAAAUGGCACCACCUGGCUGAACAUAACUUCUUACACUCCCAUGAGUCCUCCUGGACAGGUGCUGUGACCUCGUGCAGCCUUGGGGACCCUGACACUCCCACGGACAGGCCAAGGGGUUUGCCUGGGCCCUGUGGGCACAGAGCCCCUUGAGAUGGGUUUCCCUAUGCAGCCCCCCACCCCCCACCGGGGACCCAUGGCACUGCAGCCCUCACCCCCC